Molecule: ribosomal RNA, 253 nt
Filed under: uncultured bacterium
Lineage: Bacteria
Description: partial 16S ribosomal RNA
Rfam family: Bacterial small subunit ribosomal RNA
Source: RNAcentral
UACGUAGGGGGCGAGCGUUGUCCGGAAUUAUUGGGCGUAAAGAGCGCGCAGGCGGCUUGGCAAGUCGGGUGUGAAAUCCCGGGGCUCAACCCCGGGACUGCAUUCGAUACUGUCAGGCUAGAGGUAGGUAGGGGAGAUCGGAAUUCCUGGUGUAGCGGUGAAAUGCGCAGAUAUCAGGAGGAACCCCCGUGGCGAAGGCGGAUCUCUGGGCCUUACCUGACGCUCAGGCGCGAAAGCUAGGGGAGCGAACAGG